UACGGAGGGUGCAAGCGUUAUCCGGAUUCACUGGGUUUAAAGGGUGCGUAGGUGGGCAAGUAAGUCAGUGGUGAAAUCUCCGGGCUUAACCCGGAAACUGCCAUUGAUACUAUCUGUCUUGAAUACCGUGGAGGUGAGCGGAAUAUGUCAUGUAGCGGUGAAAUGCUUAGAUAUGACAUAGAACACCAAUUGCGAAGGCAGCUCACUACACGAAUAUUGACACUGAGGCACGAAAGCGUGGGGAUCAAACAGG
This 253-nucleotide ribosomal RNA is filed under the name uncultured bacterium. RNAcentral's name for it is "partial 16S ribosomal RNA". It matches the Rfam family "Bacterial small subunit ribosomal RNA", at positions 524 to 776 of the family's 1533-position model. The record is from RNAcentral.